This 564-nucleotide ribosomal RNA is filed under the name Microkayla cf. iatamasi JMP-2017. Its description in RNAcentral is "partial 16S ribosomal RNA". It matches the Rfam family "Bacterial large subunit ribosomal RNA", at positions 1832 to 2597 of the family's 2925-position model. Lineage: Eukaryota; Metazoa; Chordata; Amphibia; Anura; Craugastoridae. The record is from RNAcentral.
CGCCUCCUGAAAAAAUAUAAGAGGUCCAGCCUGCCCAGUGACUUGUUUAACGGCCGCGGUAUCCUAACCGUGCGAAGGUAGCGUAAUCACUUGUCUUUUAAAUAAAGACUAGUAUGAAAGGCAUCACGAGGGUCAAACUGUCUCCUUUUUCUAAUCAGUAAAACUAAUCUUCCCGUGAAGAAGCGGGAAUUUCUCUAUAAGACGAGAAGACCCUAUGGAGCUUUAAACUGUAAGUUAUUCGCCCGUUCCCACCUCAAUUUCAGAAAUUUAACACUCUGGGCCCACUAACUACACGUUUUAGGUUGGGGUGACCUAGGAGCAAAACAAACCCUCCUAGCUGACACGGGCUAAGCCCUGAGAAAAAAGCCACAACUUUAACCACCUAUAAAUUGACACCAAUUGACCCAGUCCGCUGAGCAACGAACCAAGUUACCCUAGGGAUAACAGCGCAAUCUACUUCAAGAGUCCCUAUCGACAAGUGGGUUUACGACCUCGAUGUUGGAUCAGGGUGUCCGAGUGGUGCAGCCGCUACUAAAGGUUCGUUUGUUCAACGAUUAAAACCCU